Athene cunicularia (burrowing owl) is the source of this 1558-nucleotide long non-coding RNA. RefSeq lists it as uncharacterized. NCBI's taxonomy places the organism in Eukaryota, Metazoa, Chordata, Aves, Strigiformes, Strigidae. The transcript has 3 exons. The record is from RefSeq and is a predicted model, not a curated record.
UGGAAGGAGAAAAAGACCCAGAGUCGUUUAGAAAAUCAGUAAGAUCACAGACCAAAUACCAUUUCUUGAAAAAGCAAGAGAAACAUAAUCAGGUUAUUUGGGAGGGCAGCAGACUGAAAGGAGUGUGUGAAGAACAGGAGGAACAAACACUAAAUGGUGAAAAGGACUGGACGAGCCACCCCAUUUCCUGCAGGAUACCAGUCUGGAUCCAGACUUCAGCAGGAAUGCAUUUGAUCCGUGUCAGUGUACACCUUGGAGGAGAAUCAGAAACAAAGGAACACAAAGACAUCCUUUGGUGAAAAUGGAUUUUUCAAAACUAAACCAAAUCAAACAAAUCCACUGCAACUAGCCAGACAACUGAAGAGGGAGCUUAGAAGGAAUUCCCCUCAACUUCACCUUGCAGCGUAACCUUCUCUUUCUGGAGCAAACACAUACACACUCAUCUACAAACACUUCCACAGCCUUCACCUUGUUAAGCCAACUGGCGGAGACUUUAUUUUCUAAGCAAGCAUUAUUUUGCCAUCUCUUCUUAGGAGACCCUCCUUUACAGUAGAGGACACGGGCUGUACUUCAAGCAAAGGAUAUACUGCACUUGCCCCUGAGGCCACUUAAGCAAGUGUCAGUGUUUCCAGUGGACUUUGGAUUGGGCCCCACAGCAUCCAGGCAGCACAACGCGUUUGCAGUCCAUCUAGGUUCAUUUUGGCAAGGGGAAAUACAACACAACCCAGCAACAGCAAAGCAAAGUCCAGAUGCUGCUUAAGCCACAUGUGAUCUUCACUAGCCAACAAAGAAGUCAUGAGGAAAGCGAGAGGUAGAGAAAAUCCUGACAUCCAAAAAUAACAAUAAAAAUACAGAGCCUAGUGGCAGCCUUCCUGAGCGCUCUUUCCCCAGGCAAUAUUCCCAACUUCAGUAGGGAGCUGAAGAGGGCCCCAAUUCUGGUGAGCUCAGCACUGGUUUUUUUAAAAGCUACGUAAAACUCCCAGAACAUGGUUCUCAUUUACUGAUCCAUUCUCCAGCUGUGGUGUGUAGCAGUGUUAAAUAAAGGCUCUGGAUGUGCUUCCUAAAAGAAACAUAACAACACCGACAGUAGAUCAAAGUACUGGACUCUUAGCAAGUCUCCAACCUUUGAACUACUCUUGUUUUCAUCCCUCUCAUUGCCAACACAACAACCUAGGUUAAACAUCCCCAUAUCCAAAGGGGAGGCCGGGUAGCUGUUCUUUUUAGCUAACCAGUGGAGGAAGCUUCAAACUGAGCAAAUCACGCAUUCGGAGUCGCAGCAGCCUUAGCUGGUAGAAUCUGGCAUGGAGAGUUAUGUCUGAUUUUCCCAAAACGUUGCUGCAGGUAGUUUUAAGGCUGUUUGAAGGUUGUAGCGCUCCGAACACCAAGCAUUAUUCCAGGCAAUCUAACUUACAAACUGCCCGUUAUGCUGAUGUUAGGCCCAAGAUGAAGAGCAAUGCCAGUGUUUAUAAAUUUCUCUUUUAUGGCUUGGUCAUUCUAUCUUUAGGCCUUGCAGUGGACCGAUUCUGUGAAAUAAGAUUUUUCUUCUGAGUGCCUGCAA